CCUCACCCCCGCCCACCACUUCCAGGACUUCCGCUUCAAGACCUAUGCACAG
RNAcentral lists this small RNA (52 nucleotides) under Homo sapiens (human). RNAcentral describes it as "circular RNA". Lineage: Eukaryota; Metazoa; Chordata; Mammalia; Primates; Hominidae. The record is from RNAcentral.